GGGACACGUGAUAUCCUGUCUGAAUAUGGGGGGACCAUCCUCCAAGGCUAAAUACUCCUGACUGACCGAUAGUGAACCAGUACCGUGAGGGAAAGGCGAAAAGAACCCCUGUGAGGGGAGUGAAAUAGAACCUGAAACCGUGUACGUACAAGCAGUAGGAGCACCUUCGUGGUGUGACUGCGUACCUUUUGUAUAAUGGGUCAGCGACUUAUAUUCAGUGGCAAGGUUAACCGUAUAGGGGAGCCGUAGCG
Molecule: ribosomal RNA, 251 nt
Filed under: Vibrio cholerae
Lineage: Bacteria; Pseudomonadati; Pseudomonadota; Gammaproteobacteria; Vibrionales; Vibrionaceae
Description: partial 23S ribosomal RNA
Rfam family: Bacterial large subunit ribosomal RNA
Source: RNAcentral